Molecule: ribosomal RNA, 36 nt
Filed under: Aspergillus terreus
Lineage: Eukaryota; Fungi; Ascomycota; Eurotiomycetes; Eurotiales; Aspergillaceae
Description: partial 18S ribosomal RNA
Source: RNAcentral
AAGUUUUCCGUAGGUGAACCUGCGGAAGGAUCAUUA